This 151-nucleotide non-coding RNA is filed under the name Melipona quadrifasciata. RNAcentral's name for it is "Eukaryotic large subunit ribosomal RNA". It matches the Rfam family "Eukaryotic large subunit ribosomal RNA", at positions 3007 to 3161 of the family's 3401-position model. Lineage: Eukaryota; Metazoa; Arthropoda; Insecta; Hymenoptera; Apidae. The record is from Rfam by way of RNAcentral.
GUCGUUGCGAUAGUAAUCCUGCUCAGUACGAGAGGAACCGCAGGUUCGGACAUUUGGUUCACGCACUUGGUCGAGCGGUCGGUGUUGCGAAGCUACCAUCUGUGGGAUUAUAUCUAAGGCCGUAUCCUUUCUAGCCAAAGGAGGCAACGAU